Molecule: ribosomal RNA, 433 nt
Filed under: uncultured bacterium
Lineage: Bacteria
Description: partial 16S ribosomal RNA
Rfam family: Bacterial small subunit ribosomal RNA
Source: RNAcentral
AACGAACGCUGGCGGCAUGCCUAACACAUGCAAGUCGAACGAUCCCUUCGGGGAUAGUGGCGCACGGGUGCGUAACGCGUGGGAACCUGCCCUUAGGUUCGGAAUAACUCAGAGAAAUUUGAGCUAAUACCGGAUAAUGUCUUCGGACCAAAGAUUUAUCGCCUUUGGAUGGGCCCGCGUUGGAUUAGCUGGUUGGUGGGGUAAAGGCCUGCCAAGGCGACGAUCCAUAGCUGGUCGGAGAGGAUGGCCAGCCACGCUGGGACUGAGACACGGCCCAGACCCGGACGGGGGGCAGCAGUAGAGAAUAUUAUGCGAGGGGGGAAAGCCUGAUCCAGCAAUGCGGCGGGUGAGAGGAAGGCCUUAGGGUUGUAAAGCUCUUUUACCCGAGAUGAUAAUGACAGUACCGGGUGAAGAAGCCCCGGCUAACUCCGUG